RNAcentral lists this ribosomal RNA (256 nucleotides) under uncultured bacterium. Its description in RNAcentral is "partial 16S ribosomal RNA". It matches the Rfam family "Bacterial small subunit ribosomal RNA", at positions 526 to 779 of the family's 1533-position model. The record is from RNAcentral.
CGAAGGGGCGUAGCGUUGCUCGGAAUUACUGGGCGUAAAGCGCACGUAGGCGGCUUUCUAAGUCGGGGGUGGAAAUCCUGGAGCUCAACUCCAGAACUGCCUUCGAUACUGGAAAGCUCGAGUCCGGGAGAGGUGAGUGGAACUGCGAGUGUAGAGGUGAAAUUCGUAGAUAUUCGCAAGAACACCAGUGGCGAAGGCGGCUCACUGGCCCGGUACUGACGCUGAGGUGCGAAAGCGUGGGGGAGCAAACAGGAUU